RNAcentral lists this ribosomal RNA (687 nucleotides) under Triticum aestivum (bread wheat). Its description in RNAcentral is "partial small subunit ribosomal RNA". Lineage: Eukaryota; Viridiplantae; Streptophyta; Magnoliopsida; Poales; Poaceae. The record is from RNAcentral.
AUGAAUAUGGUUGAGUAUGAUAGUGACCACUCGGACGAUGAGGGUGAUAUUUAUGCUACUGAAUUUGUUUGGCCAUCUCAGGCCAAACCAUUUACUUGCAAUGAUUUAAAGCCGAUUCAUAAGAAUCAUGAUGAAGAGAUGAAAUUUACUUUCAACAUUGCUAAGUGUGAUAGAAUAUUUGAUGCUUUAUUGCAAGAGAAGAUUAUUAGAAUAUCUCAUACUUUACCGCCAUUUGGAGAACUGAAACGGCAUGCUUAUUGCAAGUAUCAUAAUUCUUUUUCUCAUGCUAGUAAUGAUUGUAAUGUUUUUCGACGACAGAUACAAUCGUCCAUUAAUGACGGACGAUUGAAUUUUUCUAAGAUGCAAGUUGAUAAGCAGCCUUUCCCAAUGAACACCAUGGAUUUGGAGGGGAAUAAGAUGUUAAUUCGGCCCAGCAUAGCCGAAUCAGCUAAUAAGAAUAAUAUUGUCAUUGGUGAGCCCAAGAAAAAUAAGGAGAGUGACAAGGUCUUGGGGAGACAAGUUGUUCAUGACAAGCAACCCAAUGGCAAGGAGAUAAUCAAGAUCACCAUCAAGAAUCCUACACUCGGGGGGCAACCACAAGUACAAGAGAACACUCAUGUCAAAUUUGUUAAGCCCAAGAGUCCAGAGGUUGGCAAGUGGAAAACGAAUGAAGCUAAAGUGAAAUGA